Molecule: transfer RNA, 74 nt
Filed under: Paramuricea clavata
Lineage: Eukaryota; Metazoa; Cnidaria; Anthozoa; Malacalcyonacea; Plexauridae
Rfam family: tRNA
About the family: Transfer RNA (tRNA) molecules are approximately 80 nucleotides in length.
Source: Rfam by way of RNAcentral
ACCCCCGUGGCGCAAUGAUUUACCGCGUUGGACUUCUAAUUCAAAGGUUGUGGGUUCGAGUCCCAUCAGGGGUG